AUUGAACGCUGGCGGCAUGCCUUACACAUGCAAGUCGAACGGCAGCGGACCUUCGGGUGCCGGCGAGUGGCGAACGGGUGAGUAAUAUAUCGGAACGUACCUUUCAGUGGGGGAGUAACGUAGCGAAAGUUACGCUAAUACCGCAUAUUCUGUGAGCAGGAAAGCAGGGGAUCGCAAGACCUUUGCGCUGAUUGAGCGGCCGAUAUCAGAUUAGCUAGUUGGUGAGGUAAAGGCUCACCAAGGCGACGAUCUGUAGCGGGUCUGAGAGGAUGAUCCGCCACACUGGAACUGAGACACGGUCCAGACUCCUACGGGAGGCAGCAGUGGGGAAUUUUUGGACAAUGGGCGCAAGCCUGAUCCAGCCAUGCCGCGUGAGUGAAGAAGGCCUCGGUUGUAAGACUCUUUCGGUCCGGGAA
This 416-nucleotide ribosomal RNA is filed under the name uncultured bacterium. Its description in RNAcentral is "bacterial SSU rRNA". It matches the Rfam family "Bacterial small subunit ribosomal RNA", at positions 30 to 447 of the family's 1533-position model. The record is from RNAcentral.